GCCUGGGUGGCUUAGUCGGUUAAGCGUCUGACUUCAGCUCAGGUCAUGAUCUCACAGUCCGUGAGUUCGAGCCCCACGCUAGGCU
RNAcentral lists this transfer RNA (85 nucleotides) under Felis catus (domestic cat). It matches the Rfam family "tRNA". From Rfam's summary of the family: Transfer RNA (tRNA) molecules are approximately 80 nucleotides in length. Their secondary structure includes four short double-helical elements and three loops (D, anti-codon, and T loops). Lineage: Eukaryota; Metazoa; Chordata; Mammalia; Carnivora; Felidae. The record is from Rfam by way of RNAcentral.